This is a long non-coding RNA of Oryzias latipes (Japanese medaka), 1350 nucleotides long. RefSeq lists it as uncharacterized. Lineage: Eukaryota; Metazoa; Chordata; Actinopteri; Beloniformes; Adrianichthyidae. The record is from RefSeq and is a predicted model, not a curated record.
UUUUAUUUUGAAAUUAUCUUUUUGAGUUGCGCUUUUAUUUUUUGAGUUGCGCUUUUAUUUUUUGCGGUUUUGAUUCUAAAACCUGUCGACACGUAAAAACAACGACAUGUCAGUCAAGGCGAAGAGAGGCGGGACAUCCCUGAUAUCCAGAAGCUCAUUGGCUGCCGAAUAACACCGAGUCUUCCGUCAACAGACCAGUUUAGAAUGUGCCGGGCCGUUGUUAUGCAUGCCAUAACAAAAAAAGGCAGGAAUACUGAGGCAGCUAUGACGUGGAUGUCUACAACUUCUUUAAGAUGCAGGCCCCAAAGACGUCCCUGGUGUGAUGCAAAGGCUGUCCAGCAGGCUCACAGACAUCUCCUGUUAACUGAAAGAGAAGCAUUUAAAAUAGUUGUCCAUUUUGACCAUGAUUGCAUUGACAACAUGCCCAGGUACACUGUCUGCUUCCCAUUUCUCAGUGCCUGCACAAAAACAGUGACUUUUCCACCUCAAGUCUUUUGAGGAGUUUUAAAAACAGUUAUUUUAAUUUCUCUGAAUUGUGGUUCAGAAUUUCACACAAUCUAAUACACUUGACUCUGUUUCAAAGAUAUUUGCAAAACCAUCAGUCUUUUGUACAAAAGACAUUUAAUGGUCAAACAUUAAAAAUGAAGCUUUACAAAAUACCAGUGGUGAUUAUUAGCCAUUUAUUUUCUUAAGGGGGGCAGUAUUUUGUGAGACAGAUGAGAUCUGUUCAUAUUGUUAGUUUUUGUUACAUCCUGCUGAGAUAACAUGCAUAGAUCAGUACAUAAAUGUUAAUGUCUUGGUCAUGGUUUUCCAUUGUCCCACAAGGGUUGAACAGGUCUGAGAGGAGAGAGGACAAGCCACAGAGGGAACAACAACUCCAACAGUUUCCUGCUCUGCCUGGUUUAAGUUAGUCUGUCGUCCAAUAUCCACAGCAUCCUGCACACAAAGAAAAAUGUAUUUAAGAAAGUUAAAAUGAGAAUAUAUACAUAUAUAUACCUUAAAUGAUACUCAGUAGCUGCAUAUUGUGAGAGUUAACUUCCUGUGUGAACAUGCAAUCUUUAAGGUUGAGAAUAAAAUGGUCUGGGAUUACAGUUCAGAAUCAGAAAAACUUUAUUGAUCCCACACGUGGGAAAUUUGUUCUGGUACCUCAGAUAAAUGAUGUGUUUCUGAAUCAUAAUUUUUUUUUUUUUUUUUAAAUCGGGAUGAACUUGAUCCCAAACUAGGAAAGGUGUCACUUUCUUACAACAAUAUUGAGAAAUAUUGAGAAACCUUAUAAAUUAUACAUGAAUGUACUUCUUAAAAAACGAUUUGAUUAACCCUAGUGACAAUUCACGGGCAAUUAUUCCCAGG